UCAGCUUUUGCUUUUCUGUCUUUAAAGUUCCAAUUUUCUCUCCACACCCUCACUUUCCCACGAUAACCCUCUCUUACUCAUCUCCUGCUCUCUUCUCUCACCAUAGCAGUGGUCAGCAAACAAGCUGGUUGGGGGAUUUCGGUUGCAGAAGCACGAUCAGUAAAGGAAAUGAGCUGGUCGUCGAGUGAUAACUAUUUUGUGAAUCAAAAUUAGAGGUCUUCUCGGUUGACCUAUUUUCUGAACCAUUAUAAUUCAUACAGAGCAAGUUGUCAUCUACGAUGGGCCGAAGGGUGAUGAUUUCAAGAGGUUCUUGCGUUCUACAAACCUUCGAGUAAACUAUCAGGGAAAGGCUAUAGUACGUGUCCAAAAGCAUGACGAUAAUGAUGAGUUCCUUGAACAAUAUGAUUCCUUCAUUCAAGAAAAGGUGGUACCAUUAGACCCUUUUGGUUUCCCAAACAUACCAUUACUGAAGCCGUAAGCGGUGAACAAAUUGCAAAGUCUCUUGGACAAUACUAAGGCUGAAUUGGCGAAGAAGAAUGAUGAGCUUGAUGAAUUGCAAAGCCUCCUAGAUAGUACCAUAGCCGAUUUAGUAAAGAAGAAUGAUGCACUGAAUGAAUUAAAGAAGCAGAAGAUUGAUUAGGAUUGGAAUCCUGAACAGUUCCGACUUUGUAUUGUUGCAAUCACUAACUCAAUGAAGAGAGUGUUUGUUGACUUUGGUCUUGAACCACCAGCAAGUGGAUAUCCAGAGUCUAUGCUGAAUUUUCUCGAGAUGUUACAUGAUUUGAUCCUUCACAAAGAAUUUAGUGCCACUUUCUUAGCAGUCGCGAACAAGAUACUGGCCUUAAUUGCAAAUAUAUUUAAGAAACGCAAUGGCUUAAGCAUUGGCAUGGAAACAACAAAUAGCAUGGAAACAUUAAAUAGUACUCCAACCUGUCUCAUUAAGAGCCUAUUUACCUUAAGAGGCUUUAUGAAUACCCACUUCUUUAUUGAUGGUAGUGUUAUUUUCAAGGAUUUUCGUCUGAUGAACGAGGCCGACCUCCCAGUUAUAUUUCAGGAUCCUGCAAUAGAUGUGGUAAAGCUGAAGCAGAAGAAGAUAGGUACGAAAACAAUCGAUAACAUUGAUAAAAAUUCCAUCUUCUAUGGGUAUUUCAAUAUUCCAACAGUGGGGAUGUUCAAGGGUGUUUUGACAAGAGUAUAUGUCACCCUGCCAGAUGAGAUCAUGGUGAAACUUAAGGUGGACAUACAUAUCCUUAAUGACAAAAGGUUUUGGUUUGUCUAUUCCAAUGGGGCUUUUAUAUUUGAGAAGGAGCUUUUGAGUCCUGAAUUAACAGAUACCAAUACCUCUGGCUCGAUAAGCAACAUAAGCAAUUUAAAAGAUGUCAAAUUUGCCCCUUCUUGGAUCUUAGGUGAUCAUAUAGACUUCUUAGGGUUUUCUGUAGGAUGAAUCGAAUCUUCGUUAAUGAGAAUGUGGUAUAUCUCAAGUUUGGUUUUAUUGGUGGGAAGCAUUUAAGACCACGGGGUUUUAGUGAUAGUAUGGUUCGCUAUUAUAAUAAGGAUGGUGGAAUGUUUGCUCCUCUCAAGUUGGUGCAAUGUGAUGCGAAUACACCUACAACUGAUAUUGUACAAAGAGAAGUUUUUUUACCUAUGUCAACCUCACCUUUUGGGGAGAAUUAUGUCACAUGGAUUGCGAAUGAAUCUUUGGGCAAGGAUUGUGCUUUCACGUUCAAUGAAUUUUGUUUUAUGAGGAAAAUAACGAAAGCCUCCAGUACAUUCCGUGAGAAUGAUUUGGUCAGUGUGUUCUUCGAACAAGCCCAAAACAGAGAAAGUAAGAUCAUGGGAUGACACUGAUAAAUCUUUAAAGGCUCCAAAAUUUGUUUAAAAUGACCUAUAGUUUAUUUUAGGGAAGUUAUUAACGUAACAAGGGUUGGUUAUGUUUGAUAAAAUAACAAAAGGGUAAAAAAAUCAAAUAUUUAUGAAAAUAUUUAUUAAAAAACUAAUUAAUGGGGGUAAAAUAGAUAUUUCACUUAUUACAAAUUAAAAUUAAAAAAUAUAGCCAAAAUUGAAAUUGUAAAGGAAUUUUAGUCAUUUCAUCUUAACAAGGGUUCGACUUAAACCUACCUUUCUAUUGUAAUCGAUUUACGGAAAAAAAAAAAAAAGCGCUGGGUUUCUUCCCUGAGUUUGGGAACGUCUCUGCAGCUUUCUACGUCGUUGGCAGGCAAAAACUCAAAGUUUGAAAUUAAACUUGUCUCACCAGCUCCCCGGGUAGAUCGAAGAUGGGGAGUUGCCUUGCCUCCAAUUGAUAUUUUGUGAGGUUCAGUUGCUGAUCGAAGUCCUGGAAUUGAGCAUUUAUUCUAUAGUACGAUUCCUAUUAUCUUAAGGGGCAGAGGAUUCGAGGUACUUUUUUGUGGUUUUAUGGAUACUUCUGUUUAAUGUGAUGUUUUUCAUAGUUACUAAACUGAAUGUCAAUUUUCUAGGGUUUCAGCUUUGUAUGCUAAUGCUUAAUUGAUUGUAUUGGCUUUGAGAUAUCUUCUCAGAAAUCGAGAAAAUGUUGGGAGCACUUGAUUGAUUCGCGAGGCCUUGUAACUUAUUAGUUCUUUCGUUUGGAUCCCUAUGUAUUGGUGAUUCUGACUUUUGGCCUUAUUUUGUGAGAAAAUGGUUUUCUCUUUAAUGUGGAGUGUCGCAUGGAUUUAUAACAUUUACAAGUGAAGAAUGCUCUUCUUCUAGAGAGUACAUGUGUCUUUUGAUUGGAUAAA
Long non-coding RNA from Macadamia integrifolia, 2753 nucleotides. RefSeq lists it as uncharacterized. The transcript has 3 exons. The record is from RefSeq and is a predicted model, not a curated record. Lineage: Eukaryota; Viridiplantae; Streptophyta; Magnoliopsida; Proteales; Proteaceae.